AUUGAACGCUGGCGGCAUGCCUUACACAUGCAAGUCGAACGGGGACAGGUCUUCGGAUGCUGACGAGUGGCGAACGGGUGAGUAAUACAUCGGAACGUGCCUAGUAGUGGGGGAUAACUACUCGAAAGAGUGGCCGAUACCGCAUGAGAUCUACGGAUGAAAGCAGGGGAUCGCAAGACCUUGUGCUACUAGAGCGGCCGAUGGCAGAUUAGGUAGUUGGUGGGAUAAAAGCUCACCAAGCCGACGAUCUGUAGCUGGUCUGAGAGGACGAUCAGCCACACUGGGACUGAGACACGGCCCAGACUCCUACGGGAGGCAGCAGUGGGGAAUUUUGGACAAUGGGCGAAAGCCUGAUCCAGCAAUGCCGCGUGCAGGAUGAAGGCCUUCGGGUUGUAAACUGCUUUUGUACGGAACGAAAAGCCCCGGGUUAAUACCCUGGGGUCAUGACGGUACCGUAAGAAUAAGCACCGGCUAACUACGUGCCAGCCGCCGCGGUAA
This 498-nucleotide ribosomal RNA is filed under the name uncultured bacterium. Its description in RNAcentral is "partial 16S ribosomal RNA". It matches the Rfam family "Bacterial small subunit ribosomal RNA", at positions 30 to 523 of the family's 1533-position model. The record is from RNAcentral.